CAAGAAAGGAUGCAUAGAAAUGUGGUUGAGAGGCUACUGGCAGUUAUCCAUGUGUGAAAUGACAGUUUGGGGACCAUGGCGGAGUGACUAAUUACACCAAAUUUGCAUAGGAAAGCGUGCACAAAUUCCACCAUUGACCCUACUUUCAUCUGACUGAUCUCAUUCUUAUCUGAACAAGGGAGAUUACCAAACUUGAAGACUUCAAGGAGGAGGUGACAUUUGAAGUGGGCAUUGAAUUAUGAGAAAAGGCCUGCUGUACCAACUCUACCCUGAGGGAAGUGUGCCAAGGCUCAAGUGUCCCAUAAAUUGGGGGAAGGGAAGCAAAUCACCAGGAAAAAAGUCUCAUGGUCAGUAUCAGCACAUCUUUCCACAUCUUGGAAAGAAUGUAAGAACUCUGCCUAAGAAAAGGACAAGAGGAUGAGAGACCCAGAAAGAUUGGAGAGCACACAGGGAGAUGUGAUGGAUCAGGAAAUACUUGGAGAGAGGUUUCUGCAGAUGUGAGUAACAGAGGUUUUGUGGUUACAUCACAGGCAAACCUAUGACCAGAUAUUCCUUUUCUUGGCACAAGAGAGACAGCAUAGCAGU
RNAcentral lists this long non-coding RNA (585 nucleotides) under Equus caballus (horse). RNAcentral describes it as "lncRNA (ENSECAG00000058142.1)". The record is from RNAcentral. Lineage: Eukaryota; Metazoa; Chordata; Mammalia; Perissodactyla; Equidae.